GCACUGGUGGUUCACUGGUAGAAUUCUCACCUGCCAAGCGGGAGACCCGAGUAUGAUUCCUGGCCAAUGCA
This 71-nucleotide transfer RNA is filed under the name Danio rerio (zebrafish). It matches the Rfam family "tRNA". Rfam says of the family: Transfer RNA (tRNA) molecules are approximately 80 nucleotides in length. Lineage: Eukaryota; Metazoa; Chordata; Actinopteri; Cypriniformes; Danionidae. The record is from Rfam by way of RNAcentral.